RNAcentral lists this ribosomal RNA (373 nucleotides) under uncultured bacterium. Its description in RNAcentral is "bacterial SSU rRNA". It matches the Rfam family "Bacterial small subunit ribosomal RNA", at positions 143 to 509 of the family's 1533-position model. The record is from RNAcentral.
AUAACCGUUGGAAACGACGACUAAUAUCCCGUAAUACUAGUGGAGGCAUCUCCAUUAGUUGAAAGCUUCGGUGGUUACGGAUUGGCUCGCGUCUGAUUAGGCAGUUGGCGGGGUAACGGCCCACCAAACCGACGAUCAGUAGGGGUUCGUGAGAGGAAGGUCCCCACCAUUGGAACUGAGACACGGUCCAGACUCCUACGGGAGGCAGCAGUGAGGGAAUAUUGGACAAUGGCCGGAAGGCUGAUCCAGCCAUGCCGCGUGAAGGACGAAGGCCCUAUGGGUCGUAAACAUUCUUUUGUUGUUGGAGGCAAUAAGGGGUUCGCGAAGCCCCGAUGAGAGUACACAGCGAAUAAGCAUCGGCUAACUCCGUGCC